RNAcentral lists this ribosomal RNA (427 nucleotides) under uncultured bacterium. RNAcentral describes it as "partial 16S ribosomal RNA". It matches the Rfam family "Bacterial small subunit ribosomal RNA", at positions 355 to 774 of the family's 1533-position model. The record is from RNAcentral.
UGGGGAAUAUUGCACAAUGGGCGCAAGCCUGAUGCAGCCAUGCCGCGUGUAUGAAGAAGGCCUUCGGGUUGUAAAGUACUUUCAGCGGGGAGGAAGGUGUUGAGGCUAAUAACCUCAGCAAUUGACGUUACCCGCAGAAGAAGCACCGGCUAACUCCGUGCCAGCAGCCGCGGUAAUACGGAGGGUGCAAGGGUUAAUCGGAAUUACUGGGCGUAAAGCGCACGCAGGCGGUCUGUCAAGUCGGAUGUGAAAUCCCCGGGCUCAACCUGGGAACUGCAUUCGAAACUGGCAGGCUAGAGUCUUGUAGAGGGGGGUAGAAUUCCAGGUGUAGCGGUGAAAUGCGUAGAGAUCUGGAGGAAUACCGGUGGCGAAGGCGGCCCCCUGGACAAAGACUGACGCUCAGGUGCGAAAGCGUGGGGAGCAAACA